Molecule: ribosomal RNA, 492 nt
Filed under: uncultured bacterium
Lineage: Bacteria
Description: partial 16S ribosomal RNA
Rfam family: Bacterial small subunit ribosomal RNA
Source: RNAcentral
AGUGAACGCUGGCGGUAGGCCUAACACAUGCAAGUCGAACGGCAGCACAGUAAGAGCUUGCUCUUACGGGUGGCGAGUGGCGGACGGGUGAGGAAUACAUCGGAAUCUACUUUUUCGUGGGGGAUAACGUAGGGAAACUUACGCUAAUACCGCAUACGACCUACGGGUGAAAGCAGGGGAUCUUCGGACCUUGCGCGAUUGAAUGAGCCGAUGUCGGAUUAGCUAGUUGGCGGGGUAAAGGCCCACCAAGGCGACGAUCCGUAGCUGGUCUGAGAGGCUGAUCAGCCACACUGGAGGUGAGACACGGACCAGACGCCUGCGAGAGGGAGCAGUGGGGAAUAGGGGGCAAUGGGCGCAAGCCUUAUCCAGCCAUACCGCGUGGGUGAAGAAGGCCUUCCGGGUGUAAAGCCCUUUUGUUGGGAAAGAAAAGCAGCAGGUUAAUACCCCGCUGUUCUGACGGUACCCAAAGAAUAAGCACCGGCUAACUUCGUG